RNAcentral lists this microRNA precursor (61 nucleotides) under Alligator mississippiensis (American alligator). Its description in RNAcentral is "Ami-Mir-9599_pre stem-loop". The record is from RNAcentral. Lineage: Eukaryota; Metazoa; Chordata; Crocodylia; Alligatoridae.
GCUUUGCACCUUACAGACUAACCAAAGUAGACAUAUUGGUUAAUCUAUAGGUGCAAAUCGA